GUGGCAACGCAAGUCAGAUGUGAAAGCCCUAGGCUCAACUUAGGAAUUGCGUCUGAUACUGCGCUGCUCGAGUACGGUAGAGGAGAGUGGAAUUCCUGGUGUAGGGGUGAAAUCCGUAGAUAUCAGGAGGAAUACCAAUGGCGAAGGCAACUCUCUGGUCCGAAACUGACACUCAGACCCGAAAGCGUGGGUAGCAAACAGGAUUAGAUACCCUGGUAGUCCACGCCGUAAACUUUGGACGCUUGUCGUUGGGAAUGUUAACCAUUUUCAGUGACGGAGCUAACGCGUUAAGCGUCCCGCCUGGGGAGUACGGUCGCAAGAUUAAAACUCAAAGAAAUUGACGGGGACCCGCACAAGCAGUGGAGCAUGUGGUUUAAUUCGACGCAACGCGCAGAACCUCAUCCUGGUCUUGACAUAUACCGGACCGCUCUGUGAAAGCAGGCUUUCCCUUCGGGGACUGGUAUACAGGUGCUGCAUGGCUGUCGUCAGCUCGUGUCGUGAGAUGUUGGGUUAAGUCCCGUAACGAGCGCAACCCACGUCCCUUGUUGCCAUCAUUAAGUUGGGCACUCUAGGGAGACUGCCAGUGUCAAACUGGAGGAAGGUGUGGAUGACGUCAAGUCCUCAUGGCCCUUAUGACCAGGGCUACACACGUGCUACAAUGCGAGGUACAAAGGGCUGCAAAGCCGUAAGGUGAAGCCAAUCUCAAAAAACUUCGCUCAGUUCGGAUUGAAGUCUGCAACUCGACUUCAUGAAGCUGGAAUUGCUAGUAAUCGC
Molecule: ribosomal RNA, 774 nt
Filed under: uncultured delta proteobacterium
Lineage: Bacteria; Deltaproteobacteria
Description: bacterial SSU rRNA
Rfam family: Bacterial small subunit ribosomal RNA
Source: RNAcentral